AUGCAACAGGCACAAGGUGGCUCAUCAAACCCUGUCUUCACACCAUCAAGCUACACCAACCACCCAGUCAGAGCAACACAAGACUGUCCAUCUUUCGAUCUUAACAUAAGUUUUCAUGAAGAUGAGGGCACCAACAGAGGCCAAUCCACAGAACUGAAGCCACGCAACCUAGAUGCCUGCAUGUCAGAAAGCGGAGAUGAAUGGGGCUUGGAUCCGGAGGAGCUACAAAAAGUGUGCUAUGAGGCAGAAAAGGCAUUUGCAUUGAAGAAAGAAAAGGAAGAGGAGAGGCUAAGAAAUGGAGGAGAGGCUAAGAAAUGGAAGGCAAAUCAACGAUCAAAAUUCAAAAACACCAGUCACAGCAACCACAAACACAGAAAACGUCGCUAG
RNAcentral lists this ribosomal RNA (387 nucleotides) under Triticum aestivum (bread wheat). RNAcentral describes it as "partial small subunit ribosomal RNA". Lineage: Eukaryota; Viridiplantae; Streptophyta; Magnoliopsida; Poales; Poaceae. The record is from RNAcentral.